CCUACGGGAGGCUGCAGUGAGGAAUAUUGGUCAAUGGGCGAGAGCCUGAACCAGCCAAGUCGCGUGAGGGAGUACUGCCCUAUGGGUUGUAAACCUCUUUUGUCGGGGAGCAAAAGCCGGACGUGUCCGGCUGUGAGAGUACCCGAAGAAAAAGCAUCGGCUAACUCCGUGCCAGCAGCCGCGGUAAUACGGAGGAUGCGAGCGUUAUCCGGAUUUAUUGGGUUUAAAGGGUGCGCAGGGGGAUUUUAAAGUCAGCGGUCAAAUCGUGGGGCUAAACCCCAUCCAGCCGUUGAAACUGGGGGGCUGGAGUGUGCGAGAGGUAUGCGGAAUGCGUGGUGUAGCGGUGAAAUGCGUAGAUAUCACGCAGAACCCCGAUUGCGAAGGCGGCAUACCGGUGCACAACUGACGCUGAGGCACGAAGGCGUGGGUAGCGAACAGGAUUAGAUACCCGGGUAGUC
RNAcentral lists this ribosomal RNA (458 nucleotides) under uncultured bacterium. RNAcentral describes it as "partial 16S ribosomal RNA". It matches the Rfam family "Bacterial small subunit ribosomal RNA", at positions 338 to 795 of the family's 1533-position model. The record is from RNAcentral.